UAUUGGAUUGUUGUUACCGAUUGUUCAGGUUUGGUAGGAGCCGAAGAGACGUGUGCGCUAGCUUACGUGGAGGCAAUGGUGGGAUACUUCCCUGGCUGUAUGACCUUUCUAACCCGCCACGCUUUGCGCGUGGGGAGACUGUGUCAGGUGGGCUGUUUGACUGGGGCGGUCGCCUCCUAUAGAGUUACGGAGGCGCCCAAUGGUUCCCUCUGUAUGGAUGGAAAUCAUUCGCAGAGUGUAAAGG
This 244-nucleotide ribosomal RNA is filed under the name Listeria monocytogenes. RNAcentral describes it as "partial 23S ribosomal RNA". It matches the Rfam family "Bacterial large subunit ribosomal RNA", at positions 2115 to 2357 of the family's 2925-position model. Lineage: Bacteria; Bacillati; Bacillota; Bacilli; Caryophanales; Listeriaceae. The record is from RNAcentral.